Long non-coding RNA from Rhagoletis zephyria (snowberry fruit fly), 1713 nucleotides. RefSeq lists it as uncharacterized. Lineage: Eukaryota; Metazoa; Arthropoda; Insecta; Diptera; Tephritidae. The record is from RefSeq and is a predicted model, not a curated record.
UUUAGUUAUUCCAGUUACUAACUUGCGAUUGGGUUCUCGAAAAUAAGACACAGCUUUGGGAGGCAGAGUUCAAAAGAGCGGAUUACACAAUACCACAGCAAGUUUCAGGUGAUUAUUUGGAGAAUUUCCAAAAGGAUCUUAAUUCGAUGCGCUACGUCAUAGACGACUUGGAAAUUCACAAGCAGACAUCUCUUUAAUCAAGAUUUCCAGUUAAGCAAGAAAUUCCGCAAUUAACAGUAGUGAUACGAUAAACAUCACUGGUGUAACACCAGAAACGGUUACAACAUUGGGAACCACCAACUACAAUAAAUUAAACUCUACGCAGAAGGAAGCCAUGGCGGAGUUCAUGGCCGAACACCCUGACUUGGCAAAGAAUAUACUCCCAAACUGCUCGCAGGGAAAAGCAACGGCCAACCGUUUGUGGGAAAACCUCACCAAACAAUUACAUGUGGUGGACCUUUUCAGGAGUCAUGGGCUGCACCUCUAUAUUCACAAUUUAUGGCAAGAAUCUUGCAAGUGUGGUCACAAAUCUGGCAAACGGAAUAUUAGCAAUAAAAUGUUAAAAUGAAAGAAGAGAAACUUACUAGCAUAACGUUAAGACUAUGGUAACCUUUCCUGUUGAAGUACAUGUGCUCGUCUCUAAUUGGCUUUUGUAAUCCAAUGUGUGUUCCGUCUACGCAUCCAACCACUAAAAGGAAAAACAUUGGAUUCACUACGCAUUUCAUCAGAACUCCUCUUGCUACCCCAGACGUUGGACGUCAAUUUUGAUACCGUGCUCUGGCACAUACCUAUCAGGUGAUCGCUACCAACUGUUUGCUGAUAGCUACCACUUGCAAGGAGCGAGAAGCUUGCAGCCAAUUGCAAAGCAGCAGGAACGGCUUUUGUGUCAUCGCAGUUUAUGUUUGUUUUCGAUAAAACAUACUGGAAUAUCUCCUUGCUUAACCGAAAUAUUUUUGGUGAAUCUGCAAGUAUAGGAGUAGAGAAGGUAAUUUAUUUCCUAUGUAUAAUUACUUACGCGUUGUCGGAUAAUGCGAAUGGAUUGCUUCUGCCCCGAAGUUGCUUACGCACAACUCUUUCGUCAUUUUCGCUUUCGCUAGAGCUUAAAUAAAAUAAAAGGCUCGGAUCCAUUUUAGUUUUGCCGCUUUUCUUUAUUUACUUUUCACUUAUUUUGACACUUCAAUGUCUAUUGUGACUUAAAAAAGGAAGAAGAAGAGAAAAAUAAUCGAUAACCAAAUAAACAAUAACGAUUCGUUCGCCUUCGAUUGUUAUCAUCCGAUAUUGUUCAUUCGAUUAAACGAUCACGUAAUUUGUCUUCGUACGAUUGCCGACUCGUUCACGUCUGUCACGAUUCGACCCCUGGUUUUAGGAAAAGGCACUCGUGUGAAACUGCACUCAACUUAGUAUUAGCUCGCUGGAAAGAAGAAUUGAGCAGAAAUAAAUACAUAGUUGCUGUCUUCUUAGCCUUAAAGCGCACAUUUGAGACCAUAGAUCAAGAGUUACUUUUAAAUAAAUUGAGUAAUAUAGGGAUACGGGGUGUUGAGCUAAAAUGGUUUCAAAGUCUUAUUACGAAUCGUUACCAGAGAACACAGAUUGGAUCAUCGGUAUCUGACAAAAGAGGUAUAGUGGUUGGUCUACCUCAAGGCUCAGUGCUAGCACCUAUAUUAUUAUUAUUAUUAUUAGUGCUAGCACCUAUACUAUUUAAUCAUGGUUGUU